GCUUUUUUAUUUCUAACAGACAAUCUUCUUCUUUUCAUGAGAAGAUGAAUGCUAGAAUGCCUGAUCCAUCAUUAGAACAAGAUUCUACAGUCUGGGGCACUAAGGGUGCUUCACUGUCAGGAGGGAAAGUAUUAGAUAAAUACAGUAUUUUAACUCCUCGGGAGAAAUCUAUAAUAGCUGAGUGUCAGGAUGAGGGAUUCUGGUUCAGGUUACACGUUUAUAUUUCGUAGUUUUUUGAAUUAUUAGGCUUUUCGGCGCUUCGCGACCAUUAUCUUUUACAAUUUGAA
Eurytemora carolleeae is the source of this 287-nucleotide long non-coding RNA. RefSeq lists it as uncharacterized. NCBI's taxonomy places the organism in Eukaryota, Metazoa, Arthropoda, Copepoda, Calanoida, Temoridae. The record is from RefSeq and is a predicted model, not a curated record. The transcript has 3 exons.